Piliocolobus tephrosceles (Ugandan red Colobus) is the source of this 159-nucleotide small nuclear RNA. Its record names the gene U1. It matches the Rfam family "U1 spliceosomal RNA". Rfam says of the family: U1 is a small nuclear RNA (snRNA) component of the spliceosome (involved in pre-mRNA splicing). Its 5' end forms complementary base pairs with the 5' splice junction, thus defining the 5' donor site of an intron. There are significant differences in sequence and secondary structure between metazoan and yeast U1 snRNAs, the latter being much longer (568 nucleotides as compared to 164 nucleotides in human). NCBI's taxonomy places the organism in Eukaryota, Metazoa, Chordata, Mammalia, Primates, Cercopithecidae. The record is from Ensembl.
AUACUUACCUGGCAGGGGAGAUACCAUGAUCAUGAAGGCGGUUUUUCCAGGUCGAAGCUUAUCCAUUGCAGUCCCGAUAUGCUGACCCCUGUGAUUUCCCCUAGGAAACUGAACUGCAUAAUUUGCGGUAGUGGGGUACAGCGUUCACGCUUUCCCCUG